Molecule: long non-coding RNA, 1116 nt
Filed under: Populus tremula
Lineage: Eukaryota; Viridiplantae; Streptophyta; Magnoliopsida; Malpighiales; Salicaceae
Description: long non-coding RNA (PTRE_LNC001108)
Source: RNAcentral
UUUCCCCUGAUAAAAAGCCAGCCACACACUCUCCCUGGCAAGAGGCAAAAAACGAAGGCACCCCCCGGUGGAUUUCAUUUUUUCUCCCGGGCAGCCACCAUCAGAAAAAUAGACAGCCACCCCCUAGCCCCAAUCUUGAAUUUUUCUUCCCACAACCCCUCACCUGACUUUGUUCCCCAAAUCCAUUUCCAGCACCAUCUCCAACCCUUUUUCCCGUUACAACAGCCCCCACAUUUUGUUUUCCUUUGAAUAGAAUCCGAGAGCAAAAAGCACGGACCAGCCCCUUCACCAUUUUUUUUUUCCUCCCUCAGCCGAACGCAACCACCCCCUCAGCCUCUUCUCUGCGGCUGCUCCUUCACCCUGAAACCGGCCACCGCUGAGCUCACUCCCUCUCCGGGUCAACAAACAGACCCGACCGCAGACCCACAGCCUCCAUCUUUCCCAGCCACCAGAGAAGUCGCCGCUGACGAGCCACGCACCAGUCUUCUCUCGACCACCAGGAGUCGCCCUCGGCUCCACCGGCCAACAACAGUCCUUCUUCCUCCAGCAGUGCUGCCUGAUCUGGCACUCGAAGCGGAGGAGAAGAAGAUGAAACCCAGCUGCCACCAACUGGGUUGAAGGCCAUCUCCACUGCCAGCAGCGACCCCAACAGCGCCGCCCGAAGUAGAGGCUGACCCGAGGCAAAGCCGAUCUGCCAAGAAGAAGAAAAAACAGAAGCCGAUCUGCCAAGAAAAAAAAGGAACCGAAGCAGAUUUUAGAACAAAGACAAAAAAAUUAAAAUCGACUGUGUUGUGUUUUUUCUGUUAUUGUAGGUAACGGCGGUCCUCAUCGCCGGCGUUGGGAGGCUGAGAAGAGGGAGUCGAUCCAGCCCCUUGCUGUUGGGUUUUCUUACGGGGCGCGUGGACCCACGCGCCGCCAGUGGCGGUGGUGCGUGGAUCCACGCGCCGGAACUGUUCACGCAGCCCCCAGGAGUCCUUCCCUGCAAUUUCUGGAGUUUUUAGGGACCAUUUUGUAAAUUUUAAAGUUUUAAUGUAAUUUUUGUUUAUUUAUUUUAAAUUUGUAAUAUGUGAAUGUAAAAAAAAGAAAAGAAAAUAAAUAAUAAAAAGAGAUGUGUGC